UGACUUGUCUCGGAUAAGUGGCCAAAGAAACCGGCUAAUCAAGCCCAAGCCCAAAGCCAAGUGAAGUGCAGUGUAGUAACCGUGUGCCCCGCCCACCUGUGCAGCCCACCCUACACAGAGGUGACCCACUUGAACAUGCGCCGCUCGUGACAUUCGACUGGAAAACGUGCAAAAGCGACGGGAAAUCGACAAACGCAAAACAAAGCUGCAGCAGAGACAAACAAAACGUCGAAACGUGCAGAACGUCACUUUUAGCCACCUCGCAGCGACAACAGCCGCGCCGAGCCCGAACGGAGAUGCGUCACAGCGGAAAAGCAGCGUCAGCCGACAGCGUCGAAAAGUGUUAAGAAAGAAAUGCACUGCCCAGAAAUAAUACGGAAAAUCAGGAAAUGUAACCAGCGAGAAAUGCGCACCGAGGCAACCGGCAACACGCACCACAGACAACAAAAAACUUAAACCGAAAGAAGCGCAGACUUUCGAGCCGAGGCUUAGACUACUCUUCCAACAUAAUUGCAUAUGAUUUGAUCCGAAGUAGAUAAAGAAAAGAUCUUAAGCACUCACAGAAGAGACACCCCUGCACGUAUGGAAAAAAUGACUAAAAAUAUAAAGAACAAAUAUAAUAUAGGCAAAUAUCUCAUGGAACUAUUAAUACCUCGUGCAAGGGUAUAUGUACAUUCAAAUGACUACGUUGACAGUUGUUGGAACUGACAGUUUGACGUUUCGACUCACGCGCCAAACGUCAAACAGCAGCAACAAUCCAACAGCAGCAAUUCCCGCAGCCACAAACAAUAGACAACUCAAUGAGGACUUUUGAUAGGCACAUCUGACGACGGCAACACGGCAAAUAAAUUAUUUCUGACAAUUAUUUAUGCUUGAUAUCUGCAUCAUUAAGCAAAUCGGAAAGGAAAUAUGUGUGAGACUUCAACACAGAAUAUUCUAAACAUUUCAGAGGUCAUCUAUGUACUUUAUGUACACAUAUGUUAAGUUGUAAAACUGAAUCAGAAAUAAUUGAUACAACUGCUUCAUAAUAAUCCAAUAUCCAUUUCAAAUAAAG
RNAcentral lists this long non-coding RNA (1054 nucleotides) under Drosophila guanche. The record is from RNAcentral. Lineage: Eukaryota; Metazoa; Arthropoda; Insecta; Diptera; Drosophilidae.